UAGAUGCCAAUAAAGAUUACGGAUCAAAUGGAGGAUAACUACUAACCAUUGUGUCCACUUAGAUAAAUAAACCUGCUCACAAACAAAGCACCUUAUUGUAUUUACAUUGUUGCCUCCACUAAUCCAACUAAAACAACCAGACAGUAGCUUUCCAGAGGCUGUGGGGAAUAGAAAUCAGGAUUUCUCAAACUCUCUCUCAAUUUCUUUUAAAAGAACACCCGGUUUCUUUUCUUCAAGACUGUCUUAUCCUUUCUGGAAAAUGUUUGGGAACCCAUGGCUCAGCAGGAUUACGCAAACUAGAGACCAAGGCUAAAAACCAAGGUGGGGAGGGACUGAAACACCGGACAAAACAUCGUUCCUCUGAAAACUUAGACUAAACCUUUGCAGGGACCCGCUUCCCUUGCAGGUCACACCGGGCAGACAUUUCAUUUCGGAAGGUUGUUCAAAAUCAAAUGAGCAGGAGGAAGGCAGAGAAGACCCCAAAGAGAGGCGACUUCUCCAGAAGGAACAAUAAACUACGUCCCAUACAUUCUCUGCCAAUAACACAGAACCCGCGGCUAACCCCAGAGGACCGGUGAGGGCUGGCUUGGGAUGAAUAAACACUCG
Molecule: long non-coding RNA, 606 nt
Organism: Myotis brandtii (Brandt's bat)
Lineage: Eukaryota; Metazoa; Chordata; Mammalia; Chiroptera; Vespertilionidae
Exons: 3
Source: RefSeq, a predicted model, not a curated record